Long non-coding RNA from Triticum dicoccoides, 933 nucleotides. RefSeq lists it as uncharacterized. The transcript has 4 exons. The record is from RefSeq and is a predicted model, not a curated record. NCBI's taxonomy places the organism in Eukaryota, Viridiplantae, Streptophyta, Magnoliopsida, Poales, Poaceae.
UCAUUGGAGCUGGAAAAGCACAUAAUCUUUCGAUGUCAGACAAGGUUUUUUGUCAAACUUCUUCUUUUCAUUUUUCCACAACACAAGUUCAGCUAUAAUUUAGUUUAGUGUUUUUUCCUUAUUUCAAUAUACACUAACUUGUUAUCUAUAUUUUCCCUUUUCUGCAUCAACUCCAAAAUGGAUGUACACAAGUUGUAAUUUCCAACACUACACGAGGAACAUUACUUACUGUUCGUCGUCAACAUCAAGGGUCGCACAUUUUAUUUUCUAGAUUCUUUCUAUGACGAGAAGAGCUCAUAUCAUAUGAACAUAAAAAAGAAGAUUAUCUCAAGCUUUAUAUGCACUUGGUACGAAGCUCGGCUCCAGCCAAUGGAUUUCAAUGCAUUCCCUGCUAUUUACCCUAAAGUCCCUCAACAAGAUAACGAUAUUGAUUGUGGCAUUUUCACUAUGAAACUAAUGGGAUGGUGCCCAAGGAAUCCAACCCCUAUCGUUUUUUCACCAAAAGAUGUCCCAGAUGCAAGGAUCCGAUAUGAUGUUGAUCUCAUGUUCAGCCACUACAACACUUUGGAUGACGAGAAGAAGCGUGUGAAGGAGUUCCGCCUAUAGACAUGAAAAAGUGCUGACAGCUCCUAAAAGACACCACUCAUAGAUGAUAAGAGGAGCUGUAUCAAGAGUCAUAUCAGCAAAAUCAAAGGAAAGAGGAGCUGCAUCAAACACAUAGUUAGCAAUUGUUAAAAAAUUUCGAGAUGUUUUUCUAUUUUUUGUAUGAACAGAGAAUGUAGACCCUUCUUGUUGCUGUAGACAUAUAUAUGCCCCCUCUAUUUUUUUGUUUGGUUGGGAAACAUGUGCUCCCGAAGGUACUUCUCCCCUAGUUUGUUCUUUCUCACUCGGUAAUGUGGUGAAACACAGGAACUAUAACAGUGUUUUUCCUCA